AGAAGGGCCACACAGGCCUCUCCCCCGGGGGGUGGCAGCCCAACCAGCUCUGGGGGACGUGGUGGCUGCUUCCUGGCCAGUUUGGGUGGGAAGUGAGGACACGUCCUGGCGCUAAUUGAAGCUGAAGGGGGAAUCUAGGUCGGCAGAGUGCAAUUAGCCAAGUUGGACUCGGGCCAAGACGCCAGCUAUAGCUGCCUCUAAUGAGGGACAGGCCGGCUCCUUUCCCGCCGGCUACCCGGCUUCCCUGGCUGCGCCUGUCUGCACAGGGGGAGCUGCCUACUCACAGUAGGGGUGCCAAGUGCCCCAGGGCUGUGCGGGGCUGCAACUCCCUGCCCUAAGGAGCACCUUGUCCUUGGUACCAGAAGGUUCUUUAAGGUCUUGUUGGGGUUUUCUACCCCAAGGGCUGGGAGAGGGCAGCCCUGAUGGAGGACCAGGACUCAGGGAGCUCAAUGCCUCUGCCCUCUGCUCAGAGUCGUAAUUUACCUGGGUCAGGACCAGGGCAGGGGCUCAGCCAUGGGGAGCGGAGCCCAUUUAUGUCCAGCUGGCCCAGACUGCUUCCUGGGAUUUAGGAUGCCCCCCUGCCAAGGCCAGGGUUGUAACCCUUUCUGGGAGGUACCUGUGCCCCUAUGGCCAUGGGUGAGGGGAAGCCCCAGCUCCUGCCAGAGGCACAGGCAGCUAGUCCUGGCUCCCCACGCCACCCUCCACAAACAAGAGAAGCUCUCUGACCAGCCCCACCAGAGCGUGGGUAGCCUCUGGGCUCCUCCCACACGGCUGACCUGCCUGGCUCCCCCAGAGCCUGCUUAGAAGGCCCAGCAGUCACUCUAGCCACCAAAUGUCUGCCCUGCCCAUUUCAGGCCAGGCCCCAUAGGCCACCCGGAGUGGACAAAAACGGAGAGAGACUAAGGGCUGUGACGGUGUAGGGGCACCCAGGCAGGGGGCAAGGGAUGGCCUCAGGCCCAAAACCUGGUGGGUGAGGAGCGGCUUUGGGUCUGAAGUCACAGGGUCUGGUUAUGCCAGAGUGGAGCUUCCAACAGCCGGAAGUCCCUGAGGAGGGGGAGGCUCGGCCCUGCCCUGGCCAUAACUCCUGGGGCCUGUACUCAGGCAGCACGUGAGGCAAGAAUUAGCAGAGGAGUCCGAGCCCGGGUGGUGUCUACGCUCAAGGGAGGGGGCGGGCAGAUGCCAUCCCGGUGGGUAUCAGAUAUGGGGGUGGGAUGGGAGGUGCCUCUGCCCCUGAGCACUGCCGGGGCCUGAGUCCACAGAGACUUCCCUUACUGCUCAGCUUUGGGCGUGGCCCGGGGCUCAGGCUGGAAUCUGGACCCUCUGAACCUGGGCAGGUCCCAGACCCCAGCAGACCUUCCCGAAAGCCUCCUCUAUCUCUCCCUAGUGCCAGAUCCCAGGGGGACUCCUCAGAGUAGAAGGGACAG
Molecule: long non-coding RNA, 1424 nt
Filed under: Homo sapiens (human)
Lineage: Eukaryota; Metazoa; Chordata; Mammalia; Primates; Hominidae
Description: HSALNT0001613
Source: RNAcentral